CGUAGCGAAAGUUACGCUAAUACCGCAUACGAUCUACGGAUGAAAGCGGGGGACCGUAAGGCCUCGCGCGAUUGGAGCGGCCGAUGUCAGAUUAGGUAGUUGGAGAGGUAAAGGCUCACCAAGCCGACGAUCUGUAGCUGGUCUGAGAGGACGACCAGCCACACUGGAACUGAGACACGGUCCAGACUCCUACGGGAGGCAGCAGUGGGGAAUUUUGGACAAUGGACGCAAGUCUGAUCCAGCCAUUCCGCGUGCAGGAUGAAGGCCCUCGGGUUGUAAACUGCUUUUGUACGGAACGAAAAGGUCUCUCUUAGUACGGGGGGCUCAUGACGGUACCGUAAGAAUAAGCACCGGCUAACUACGUGCCAGCAGCCGCGGUAAUACGUAGGGUGCGAGCGUUAAUCGGAAUUACUGGGCGUAAAGCGUGCGCAGGCGGUUAUAUAAGACAGAUGUGAAAUCCCCGGGCUCAACCUGGGAACUGCAUUUGUGACUGUAUAGCUAGAGUACGGCAGAGGGGGAUGGAAUUCCGCGUGUAGCAGUGAAAUGCGUAGAUAUGCGGAGGAACACCGAUGGCGAAGGCAAUCCCCUGGGCCUGUACUGACGCUCAUGCACGAAAGCGUGGGGAGCAAACAGGAUUAGAUACCCUGGUAGUCCACGCCCUAAACGAUGUCAACUGGUUGUUGGGUCUUCACUGACUCAGUAACGAAG
RNAcentral lists this ribosomal RNA (708 nucleotides) under uncultured Limnohabitans sp. RNAcentral's name for it is "bacterial SSU rRNA". It matches the Rfam family "Bacterial small subunit ribosomal RNA", at positions 147 to 851 of the family's 1533-position model. The record is from RNAcentral. Lineage: Bacteria; Pseudomonadati; Pseudomonadota; Betaproteobacteria; Burkholderiales; Comamonadaceae.